Molecule: long non-coding RNA, 689 nt
Organism: Canis lupus familiaris (dog)
Lineage: Eukaryota; Metazoa; Chordata; Mammalia; Carnivora; Canidae
Exons: 3
Source: RefSeq, a predicted model, not a curated record
CGCGAGCACCCGAGGGCCCCGCCGCAGUCGGGAGCAGGGAGGGGGAUCCCGGGGCCUGGCGAAGGUCACCCCCCCCACCCCAGUUUGGUCCCUGGCCUGGGAAUUCUCUGCGGAAAUCCUGGCCUGGAGCUGCGGGUGGGGUGAGGGGAGUUGGGUUUUAGCCGCCUCCCAUCCGGAUAAUUUGAAGGUGCAUUUCUCAGGGUCUCGGAUUUUCUUACACUGGGCAGCGGCUCCCAGGGUCCGGCGGUUCUGGGCCUCGGACCCCCAAGGGAAGCAAGAGUAAUUUCAGGGCCGGCCCAGCAGUGACAACUUAGGAACCCAUUUUAAGAUGUCUCAGGGAGAGGAACUGGAUAGUCUCCUAUGCAUCGUCUAUUUGCCUCCUCAUCUGGACUGGAAGCCUCUUAAGAACCAGGGGCCAAUGCAUCAUGUAUCAUGGUUUCCACCUGUCAUAGGUACUCAGGUAUCUGUUGAUAAUAGUUAUAACUGUCAUUAAGAGACAUCAUGCAAUUUCGGUUGACAAAAUUGUGGUCAAUUACAGAAAUAUAGUUGGCCUUUGAAUAACACGGGCGUUAGAGACGCCAACCCCCUGCAGGGUCAAAAAUCCAUGUAUAGGGCAGCCCGGGUGGCUCAGUGGUUUAGCGCUGCCUUCAGCCCAGGGCCUGAUCCUGGAGACCUGGGAUCGAGUCCCA